This 301-nucleotide ribosomal RNA is filed under the name uncultured bacterium. RNAcentral's name for it is "partial 16S ribosomal RNA". It matches the Rfam family "Bacterial small subunit ribosomal RNA", at positions 509 to 807 of the family's 1533-position model. The record is from RNAcentral.
CAGCCGCCGCGGUAAUACGAAGGGGGCUAGCGUUGUUCGGAUUUACUGGGCGUAAAGCGCACGUAGGCGGAUCGAUCAGUCAGGGGUGAAAUCCUGGAGCUCAACUCCAGAACUGCCUUUGAUAUUGUCGAUCUCGAGUCCGGAAGAGGUGAGUGGAACUCCUAGUGUAGAGGUGAAAUUCGUAGAUAUUCGGAAGAACACCAGUGGCGAAGGCGGCUCACUGGACGACUGUUGACGCUGAGGUACGAAAGCGUGGGGAGCAAACAGGAUUAGAUACCCCUGUAGUCCCUGUCUCUUAUAC